RNAcentral lists this ribosomal RNA (495 nucleotides) under uncultured bacterium. RNAcentral's name for it is "partial 16S ribosomal RNA". It matches the Rfam family "Bacterial small subunit ribosomal RNA", at positions 28 to 507 of the family's 1533-position model. The record is from RNAcentral.
GACGAACGCUGGCGGCGUGCCUAAUACAUGCAAGUAGAACGCUGAAGGAGGAGCUUGCUCUUCUGGAUGAGUUGCGAACGGGUGAGUAACGCGUAGGUAACCUGCCUGGUAGCGGGGGAUAACUAUUGGAAACGAUAGCUAAUACCGCAUAAUAGUAGAUGUUGCAUGAUAUUUACUUAAAAGGUGCAAUUGCCCCACUACCAGAUGGACCUGCGUUGUAUUAGCUAGUUGGUGGGGUAACGGCUCACCAAGGCGACGAUACAUAGCCGACCUGAGAGGGUGAUCGGCCACACUGGGACUGAGACACGGCCCAGACUCCUACGGGAGGCAGCAGUAGGGAAUCUUCGGCAAUGGACGAAAGUCUGACCGAGCAACGCCGCGUGAGUGAAGAAGGUUUUCGGAUCGUAAAGCUCUGUUGUAAGAGAAGAACGAGUGUGAGAGUGGAAAGUUCACACUGUGACGGUAUCUUACCAGAAAGGGACGGCUAACUACGUG